Molecule: non-coding RNA, 26 nt
Filed under: Mus musculus (house mouse)
Lineage: Eukaryota; Metazoa; Chordata; Mammalia; Rodentia; Muridae
Source: RNAcentral
UGUCUCAUAGCUAUGCAGCGGACCUG